This 388-nucleotide ribosomal RNA is filed under the name uncultured bacterium. RNAcentral's name for it is "bacterial SSU rRNA". It matches the Rfam family "Bacterial small subunit ribosomal RNA", at positions 28 to 417 of the family's 1533-position model. The record is from RNAcentral.
GACGAACGCUGGCGGCGUGCUUAACACAUGCAAGUCGAGCGGUAAGGCCCUUUCGGGGGUACACGAGCGGCGAACGGGUGAGUAACACGUGGGUGACCUGCCCUUAGCUCUGGGAUAAGCCUGGGAAACUGGGUCUAAUACCGGAUAUGACUCCAUGACGCAUGUUGUGGGGUGGAAAGCCUUGUGCGGCUGGGGAUGGGCCCGCGGCCUAUCAGCUUGUUGGUGGGGUGAUGGCCUACCAAGGCGACGACGGGUAGCCGGCCUGAGAGGGCGACCGGCCACACUGGGACUGAGACACGGCCCAGGCUCCUACGGGAGGCAGCAGUGGGGAAUCUUGCGCAAUGGGCGAAAGCCUGACGCAGCGACGCCGCGUGAGGGAUGACGGCCU